Molecule: long non-coding RNA, 6177 nt
Organism: Marmota monax (woodchuck)
Lineage: Eukaryota; Metazoa; Chordata; Mammalia; Rodentia; Sciuridae
Exons: 7
Source: RefSeq, a predicted model, not a curated record
GGUCUUCUUGCACAUAGAAAGCUGUGUCUGAAAAGGAAUAUAAUGAAGAUCCUGUCAAAUCUUGGGUCCUGCAGGUUGAGCUCAAAUUAUGUUGGAACCAUUGACAUGCAGGGAUGUGGCCAUUGAUUUCUCUGAAGAGGAAUGGAAAUGUCUGGACCCGGUUCAGCAGACUUUAUAUGGAGAUGUGAUGCUAGAGAUCUAUAGAAACCUGGUCUUUGUGGGUAUGUCUUCUCAUCAAAAUUCAGAAUUUUCAGAAGAGCAGGAAAUAAAAUGUUUUUUGCAAAAUUUGAUUCAGAGAAGCUCUCUCUUGCUGCACAAUCGCAAAGACUGGAGAAUAUGGAAGAUUGAGCCUCUGUGGGAUUAGAAGUGUCUGACAUUGGAAUCUAUCAUCAACUGAAGCCUUCGGUCCUCCAUCUCUGAAUCCUCAAACUCCACAAACCUGACAGGUGGUUUACCAACACCAAGCUAGUGAAACUUGUACCCUGUGGACAGACCUCACUGAUGAUGGACAUCCCCUGAACAAGAGCUCAAGGAGAAGUUCUCGGUCCCUGGGGAGAACACUCACAUGAGGAAGCAGGAAAGUGCUUCCACAUCGGGAGUCUGAGAAGGUGCAGGUGGAUCAGGAUCUUGAAGUGCUGUCAGUGCUAGAAGUUUUCAUAGAUGUUCUGUCAUCCACUGCAGUUAUCGGAAGGUUUAGGGGGAGGACCAGUCUAAAUCUGGAAACAAGACCCAAUAGAUGGACACUUGUGCACCCUGGGUCCUGACAACCCCAGAAAUCUCACUGCAUGGAUGUGCACAGAAAACAUGGCAGAAGGCAGCAGCCAGAGAAGAUUUUUUUUCUACCAAACUGCCUUUAUUCCCAUUGACAGUCAAACAAGGUACAGCUUCCCACCCAGGCUUGAACAUUGUGACCCUCCCCUCUCAGUAACUUCCUGCUGCUCUCUUUCUACAUUCCCUAUACCCUCCCACUCCCUUCAUUUUUCUGAGAUCCCACAGGAACUGUCCUAUGUGAGGAAGAACCUUUGGCCCUUCCAGUGCAGAAUGAAGCAAAGGUGAAAUCUUGCCUGAGGAGCAGCCAACCCAGAGGCCACUGGCCAACAUGACUGUCCUCAGGGCCUCUUCUUCUUUUGGUUGUCUCAAGAUGUGCACUUCCUCUUCUGAGGCUGUGAGGUUUGAGCCAGCUCCAGAUCCAUAUCUUGCCCUCCAAAGACCUUUAGGGGAGACCCAGUACAGGGCAUUUUUUCUAUGAAGCAUGAGUGUCCAGUGAGAGUGCUCUUCAUGGACAUGGCACCUGGAGGAGGGUGGGAGCUGAGGCGUCCUCUCUGGGGAGUUGGGGCCUGGAGUGCUUGAUCUCCUGAGCACAGGGUUUCUAUUGGAGGGGCUUGGCUCUGGGACAGUCCCCAGGGCAGCAGGCGGUGCUGGGAGCUAAGGAGGAAAUUCGGGCUUUGGGGGUCAUCAUCCACACUGCAGCCAUUGGCCUAGAAGAAGUGGCUUUUCUGUGAUCCACUGUGCCUUUGUUUCCCAGGUUUAAGGAGGAGGAUAUGCAGUUCUGGAGAGGAUGGUUGGAGUGGAUGGUCCCCAAUGAUGAAGAUCAGUGACAUCCUUGGAGGAUAGCAGUGUCCUUUGAACCCAGCAACUCUGGCUUGGUGGGCCUGCACCUCUUCAUGACCUGGGAAGCCACUUCUGUGGACCAGUCCUCCAUGCUGGCCCCUUGAUCAGUGCAAUGUUUCCACUUCUCUGCACCUUGUUUGGCAGCUUCCUCGGAAGCACCUUGUGUCCAGUUGGGACAUACCAUGACCUUGAGGCACCUGCAAAGGUGCUUCUUCACAAGCUGAAGGAGGAUAUGGGUACUGGCCAACUUUUCUUUAUGCAUGAAAUGGGCCACAGGGAUCAGGACAAUCAUAUUUCAGUGGGAGGUGGGAAGUGGGGCUGUCACUCAUCUUGGUCUCAGAGAAACCUGGCCACCCUCCUUUCUGCUUGAUAUCCUGAACCCUUCCAUGACUCUCAUGUCUCCUUCCUUUUUUUUCCAUCCUACAUCCUGUGUCCUGGAACAGACUCACUCAGGGAGCCGUCACAAACAGGAUAAGGAUAAACAAAGUCCCAUGAGCCACAUGAGUAAGGUCCUGUGCCUUCCUCAUCUACCUGCUAUCCCUUGCUUCCCUCUCCAACUGUGGUCACUCCCUUUUCUGUUUAUUUGUGACCCUUUGUCUCCUAGUCUGCCAUGUAUUUCUCUGUGCCUUGGUGUCUGUUCCCAAACCCUGGUAAACCUGGUAUAUCUACCUCCUUAGUUCUACCUGGUGCCCCUUUCUCCUUGUCUACCUUUUGUUUCUCCCCUACCCCUGUUUUUUCCUGGUGUCCCUGCACUUCUUUAUCAGGUGUCCCUGCCUCUCUUCUGUACCUCCUACCCCUGGUCUACUGGGAGACCUUCCUUCUGCUUUCUACCUGGUCAGUGGUGAGUCCUUCCUGCUGAUCCAACUCUUUUGUUAGGGCCAAGAUAUUUAUAUAUGGUUUGGAGGAAAGUAUUUCUUCCAGGAAGCAGGUAUGAAUCACAUUCUCUGCCUGGGAUGAGAAGGAAGAGAGUGUGAGUGACCUUGGGAGGAAAUGGCCCCAAGUCAGGAGGCAAAAGCAAGUCUAGGAGAAAGAGGAAGCAAUAAUGAUCCCAUUUUCAUCUGAACCAUGGGGUUGUUAUAUCCCAACUAUCAGCUACACCCAUGUAUGAGUGCACAUGUGUGCAUGCACAUUCUCUCUCUCUCUCUCUCUCUCUCUCUCUCUCUCUCUCUCUCUCUCUCACACACACACACACACACACACACACACACAAACACACACAAAAUGCUGAGAUUCUAAGUCAGGAAGCUCAAUUCCAUGAGUCCUGAAACCUUGAGUACACCAAGAUUGUAGGUCCAGCUUACCUUGUUGACAAAGCCCUCAUCAACAUAGCUCAGGAGACAUGGAUCUGGGUAUAAAUCAUCCUGUAUUGGAUGUUGCUCUAGUCCUUCCUCUCCCAAGUUUUCAGCAAGCUCUUCUGUGGACAAGUAGGAGGGCUCCCACGUGGCAAAGUUAGUAGGCCCAAAUAACUCAUCCAUGAUGUCCAUGUGCUCUUGGAUGGCUUCAGGUGGGAUCUCCUUGGGUGCCUUGGUCUCAGGCCCUUUGUUCUUGGCCACCUUGUUCUUGCAUGCCUUGGUCUUGUGUGCCUUUAUCUCAGGCACCUUGGUCUCUGGUGCCUUGUGUUUGGCUGCUAAUGAAUGGGCAGGCCGUGCCUUAGGGUUGGUCUUUUUGGAGGUGCACACUAGGACAGGGAAGAACAAAUAGUGCGUGAAUGAGGGAUCCAUGUUCAUCCCAAACACUGGGUAGUAGGCAGGGUUCAGGGGACCUAACCUGGUAUGCUCUGCAUGAGGACAACCUGACCCAGGACCUGAGGGAUAUAACAGUGCACCAGAUACAACAUCUAGGAUAGUCAAGUGAGAGGACAUUUGUAGCGAAUGGUAUUGCAUGCACUCUACCCUACCAGGACCCAAGUCCCAGGCAGAUUGUGUAUUGUUUCUUUGUAUAGAUAAGGAGAGAAAGGAGAUCUGUACUUGGCCCAGUCAAUACACAAUUGAAAGCUGGAUGGCCGGGACCUCAGAUGCUAGGGGCUGUUUGCUUGUAAGACUGAAUCUCCCAUACUGAAGGAAAAAUUCUUAUUUGGGACAAUAACUUGCCUUAGCCUUUGUCACUGUUUGGACACUAUCAUAAGCUACUGUGGGAAUGUGUGAACCCUACCUGGCUUUUGGACAGCCUCGGGAACUGGAGGCCUUGGAAUUUCCAUCCUCGGAGUUGCAGGAGGUGGUUGGCACUGGAAGACCCCCUUGGAUCCUCCAUCUCCUCAGCAGCCUCAAACUCCAUGAACGUCGGUGAAAUUUGGGUAAGGCAGGCAAAGGCUGGAACUGAGAAUCAGGGUAGCCAUACCAGACAGGUGCUGGUGUGGGAUUCUAGGCUAUGGAGUAUUCUAAGAUACCAGUCAGGAGCUAGUGGCAGGGAUGCCGAGCUGUGUCCUGGAGUGGGUCAGGCCAGCACAAGGAGGGAGCUGCUACACAGGAAGAACAGCAGUUCUCAGGAAACACUACAUCAACUAGCACCUGAAGGGAAAUCAGAUCUGAGGGACCCCAAUAGGGGCCCUAGCUGACCCUUGUUCUGGCUCUCUCCUGUUUCUUCCAGGAACCAAAUGAUCAGUUUAUUUCUAGAAACUGGUCAGGGAUAUGAUUUACUUAAAAGAACACCAGAGGUCCUGACCCAAUUCAGGGGUACUGAGGCUGGGACCAUGGGCCCUGAAAGGAUCACCUGGGAGACCAAGUUACAGGCAGGGUCAUGUGGAAGUGAAAGCUAAGCUGAGAACAUUGGGUUGCUUCCAAUGGGGGCUGGUUCUUCCCUUGUUAGAAUGGCAGGGAUUGCAUAGAGCAAAGGCACCAGAGAUAUGUCCUGGGGGCAUCUGAGGUGCUGGAUGGCCCUGACAAUGCACUCCCCACCACCAUCCUCUUCUGGAACAUCAGGUUGAAGUAGUGGCCACUUUCAUGAGUUAUAAUUGACCCUACUCCAUAAAGAGGUACCAGUUCCCAGGCAGGUGGUCUGAGUGAAUCCAGUGCAACUUUUCCCCUCUGCAGAGCCAGCAAAGCAGAAGCGGAUUAUUUUUUUUGGUAAUGGGGAGUGAACCCAGGUGCACUUGACCACUGAGCCACAUCCAUGGCCCUUUUUUUAAAUCUUAUUUUGAGAUUUUAAAGUUGCUCAGGCUGGCCUUGAACUUAUGAUACUCCUGACUUGGCCUCCCAAGUCUCUGGGAUUUCAGGCAUGUACCACCACACCUGGCUUAAAAGUUAGUUUUUUGUUUUUUGUUUUUUUUUAAUGGUAGUAAACAUAACCUAAAUUUUAGCAUUUCAACCAUUUUCCAGUAUUUGCAAUGUGUCAAUGACAUCACAUUGUCACACAACCAAACUAGAACUUUUUUCAUCUUGCAAAACUGAAACUCUAUCCUCAUUAAAGACUAACUCCCCUUCCCUGGCCCCUGGCAAGCAACACUACUCUGAGUGUGAGGACGCUAGGGACCUCAUGGGUGGAAUCACAUGGUAAUUGUCCUUUUGUGGUCUGCUUUGGUUCAUUAGCUCAAUAUCCUCAGCACAGGUCUGCGCUGCAGCAUGUGACUGAACCUGUCUCCAUGUGAAGGCUUAGCACUCUGUAUGAGUGCCACCUCUCCCUCCUCCAUUCAACCUUCCACAGUCCCUUGGAUUCACUGAGUCUUUUCUCCAGCUGCCUUGGAGAAAGUCUUUCUUUGGUGCCCAGCAGCUAUGACUGUGCCAGAUUUGAAUGGCCUGCCCCUGUCCUCCCUGGAGUCUUUAGGCUUCUUAGGCAGCACUCUCUGUUCUGGGAAACUCAGCACAAUCUUUCCAUCUUUCCUCUGGCCUCUUUCUCCUCUUUGCUCACCUGGUUUUCACCCACAGACCUCAGAAGUUCUGUUCUGCUUUUCUCCCCUCUGCUCCUUCUCUGUGUGAGCAUGACAUUUCUACUGCCCAGUCCCCAGUCCUCUGGUUCUUGGCCCCUUCCCCGCUGCUGUCUCCAGAUGGCUGCUGAGCCAUCAAGAAGAGUCUCCUUCUGCACUCCAGGUGUCAUCUGUGGCCUUCCGACUUGGCAAUUUUCUUAAUACCCAUGGUUUCCAAUUGAAAGGGUAAAGUCUCUAAGCUGCAAAGCCUGAGUUAAAAUGUAAAGGACCAGGUAUUGUUAAGUUUCUAAGCUACACUAAAAGCCUGAAAUUCCUGUAGCUGUUAGGACAAUUCCCAGGACUGCCCAUUAGAUAAUCCCCCCUGACCACUUAGUUGUUUAACAACUAAGACCCAGUGCAGUUCAGCAUGUAGGCACCUCAGGGCCUAAACCAAUCAGUUUGAAUGUAUCCCCCUCCUUAGGACUGACCUAUCACUCCAGCCCGACCUGUUGCCGCCAAUGAAUGUACUAAUCAUGUUUGAGAAUUGUUGUUUGAUUUUCCCGCGGUGUAUGGUGAUUUGUUAAAGCGGACUGUGAUGUAUGUAAAGUCCCUGCCCUCCCUAAAAAUGUGUACUUAAGCACUGCUCAACCCCUGCUCAGGGCUCUGGGCCGCUCUCCCUUCUUGAGUGAGCACGGAGCCCCAGUGCGCUGGAUCCUCAAUAAACCCCC